This 926-nucleotide ribosomal RNA is filed under the name uncultured delta proteobacterium. Its description in RNAcentral is "bacterial SSU rRNA". It matches the Rfam family "Bacterial small subunit ribosomal RNA", at positions 8 to 916 of the family's 1533-position model. Lineage: Bacteria; Deltaproteobacteria. The record is from RNAcentral.
AGAGUUUGAUCCUGGCUCAGAGCGAACGCUGGCGGCGUGCUUAACACAUGCAAGUCGAACGUGAAAGUAGCAAUAUGAGUAAAGUGGCGUACGGGUGAGUAACACGUGGGUAAUCUACCUUAGAGUCUGGAAUAACCUGCCGAAAGGCGGGCUAAUACUGGAUAGUUCAAGCGCAUUAUAAAGGUGCGAUUGGAAAAGGGAGCUCGUAAGAGCCUUCGCUUUAAGAUGAGCCCGCGUCUGAUUAGCUAGUUGGUGAGGUAAUGGCUCACCAAGGCGACGAUCAGUAGCUGGUCUGAGAGGAUGAUCAGCCACACUGGAACUGAAACACGGUCCAGACUCCUACGGGAGGCAGCAGUGGGGAAUCUUGCGCAAUGGACGAAAGUCUGACGCAGCCACGCCGCGUGAGUGAAGAAGGCCUUCGGGUUGUAAAGCUCUGUCGGAAGGGACAAAAACCUCCUUGGUUAAUAGCCUUGGAGCUUGAUGGUACCUUUAAAGGAAGCACCGGCUAACUUCGUGCCAGCAGCCGCGGUAAUACGAAGGGUGCAAGCGUUGCUCGGAAUUAUUGGGCGUAAAGGGUAGGUAGGUGGUUACGUAUGUCUGAGGUGAAAGCCCUGAGCUUAACUCAGGAAGUGCCUUGGAAACGGCGUAACUAGAGUGCUAGAGAGGUUCGUGGAAUUCCCAGUGUAGCGGUGAAAUGCGUAGAGAUUGGGAGGAACACCAGAGGCGAAGGCGGCGAACUGGAUAGCAACUGACACUGAACUACGAAAGCGUGGGUAGCAAACAGGAUUAGAUACCCUGGUAGUCCACGCUGUAAACGAUGGGUACUAGGCUUCGUGGGAGUUGACCCCUGCGGAGCCGGAGCUAACGCAAUAAGUACCCCGCCUGGGAAGUACGGUCGCAAGACUAAAACUCAAAGGAAUUGACGG